AGCAUGUUUUCACUGCUGACAUCCUCUCUGCCUGCAGUCCAUGAGCAUGUUCAGCAGUGCCCUGGCCUCUGGGCAGCUCGGCCCCCUCAUGAGCCAGUUCGGUCUGCCAGCAGAAGCUGUAGACGCCGCCAACCGUGGAGAUGUGGAAGCGUUUGCCAGAGCCAUGCAGGCCAGCAAAGGAGACUCCAAAGAGAAGAAGGAGGACGAUGAAGACAUGAGUCUGGAUUAAAGUUCAAGCAGCCCCGCCUCCUCCCAGGAAAAGCGGCUGACCUGUCCAGCCUCUCUCCAUCCUCCGUUACUCUCAGCAUCUGAUCAUCUUUAUAAACUUCCAUGCAAAUAAAAACAUUUGUUGAUUGAA
Long non-coding RNA from Oryzias melastigma (Indian medaka), 358 nucleotides. RefSeq lists it as uncharacterized. The transcript is spliced from 2 exons. The record is from RefSeq and is a predicted model, not a curated record. NCBI's taxonomy places the organism in Eukaryota, Metazoa, Chordata, Actinopteri, Beloniformes, Adrianichthyidae.